This 65-nucleotide small nucleolar RNA is filed under the name Moschus moschiferus (Siberian musk deer). RNAcentral's name for it is "Small nucleolar RNA SNORD58 (ENSMMSG00000006510.1)". It matches the Rfam family "Small nucleolar RNA SNORD58". Rfam says of the family: snoRNA U58 is found in introns 1, 3 and 6 of the ribosomal protein RPL17 gene in humans. U58 is a member of the C/D class of snoRNA which contain C (UGAUGA) and D (CUGA) box motifs. Most of the members of the box C/D family function in directing site-specific 2'-O-methylation of substrate RNAs. Lineage: Eukaryota; Metazoa; Chordata; Mammalia; Artiodactyla; Moschidae. The record is from Rfam by way of RNAcentral.
UUGCUGUGAUAACAAUCUUGGGACACCUUUGGAUUAACCAUGGGAAAAAAAACGUUCUGAACAAC